This 455-nucleotide ribosomal RNA is filed under the name Schizosaccharomyces japonicus. RNAcentral's name for it is "partial 26S ribosomal RNA". It matches the Rfam family "Eukaryotic large subunit ribosomal RNA", at positions 172 to 633 of the family's 3401-position model. The record is from RNAcentral. Lineage: Eukaryota; Fungi; Ascomycota; Schizosaccharomycetes; Schizosaccharomycetales; Schizosaccharomycetaceae.
UACGUCGGUCUAAGUUCCUUGGAACAGGACGUCAGAGAGGGUGAGAMCCCCGUCUUUGGCCGAUGUGCUUUGCCMWAUAAAGCGCUUUYUAAGAGUCGAGUUGUUUGGGAAWGCAGCUCUAAAUGGGUGGUGAAUUUCAUCUAAAGCUAAAUAUUGGCGAGAGWCCGAUAGCGAACAAGUAGAGUGAUCGMAAGAUGAAAAGAACUUUGAAAAGAGAGUUAMAUAGUACGUGAAAUUGCYGAAGGGGAAGCAUUGGAAACCAGUCUUACCUUGGUGAGAUCAGCUGUUYACUKGUAGACAGUGCACUCUGAACCUAGGUAGGUCAGCAUCAGUUUUCGGGGACGGAAAAAGAAUAAGGGAAAGUGGCUUUUGGGCUUGCUCAGAAGUGUUAUAGCCUUAUUGUAAUACGCCCACUGGGGACUGAGGUCUGCGACUUUGUCAAGGAUGCUGACAUA